This 87-nucleotide transfer RNA is filed under the name Heyndrickxia coagulans. Its description in RNAcentral is "Bacillus coagulans tRNA-Leu". It matches the Rfam family "tRNA". Rfam says of the family: Transfer RNA (tRNA) molecules are approximately 80 nucleotides in length. Lineage: Bacteria; Bacillati; Bacillota; Bacilli; Caryophanales; Bacillaceae. RNAcentral also lists the same sequence under 2 other names. The record is from RNAcentral.
GCGGAUGUGGCGGAAUUGGCAGACGCGCUAGAUUCAGGUUCUAGUGGUGGAAACACCGUAUGGGUUCAAGUCCCUUCAUCCGCAUCA